AUAUCCCAUAAGCCAUCUCAUUUGAAUAAUGACCUUAGGGGUUCUUGCAUAAAUCUCUUUUCAUAAGAAGAAGCCGCUCCUAAACACAUGAAUCUCCUCCCGACAACCCAAGAACUAUACCUAGCCCUCAUUACUCUGCUCCACCAACUAUUGGGGUCAAGAAGGAAUCGGGCCACAUGCCUAACAAUUAGGGUCUCCCGCCUAGUGGCCA
RNAcentral lists this long non-coding RNA (211 nucleotides) under Elaeis guineensis (African oil palm). Its description in RNAcentral is "long non-coding RNA (EGUI_LNC018699)". Lineage: Eukaryota; Viridiplantae; Streptophyta; Magnoliopsida; Arecales; Arecaceae. The record is from RNAcentral.